This 393-nucleotide ribosomal RNA is filed under the name uncultured bacterium. RNAcentral describes it as "partial 16S ribosomal RNA". It matches the Rfam family "Bacterial small subunit ribosomal RNA", at positions 523 to 918 of the family's 1533-position model. The record is from RNAcentral.
AUACGGAAGGUCCGGGCGUUAUCCGGAUUUAUUGGGUUUAAAGGGAGCGCAGGCGGAGAUGCAAGCGUGACGUCAAAUUUCGGGGCUCAACCCCGUCUCGCGUCGCGAACUGCGUCCCUUGGUUGCGGGAAGGGGAGGCGGAACUCGUGGUGUAGCGGUGACAUGCAUAGAUAUCACGAAGAACUCCGAUCGCGAAGGCAGCCUUCCGGCCCGUCAACGACGCUCAUGCUCGAAGGUGCGGGUAUCAAACAGGAUUAGAUACCCUGGUAGUCCGCACAGUAAACGAUGGACACCCGCGGUUUGGCCUGUAUGGCUGAGCCGCCAAGCGAAAGCGUUAAGUGUCCCACCUGGGGAGUACGCCGGCAACGGUGAAACUCAAAUGAAUUGACGGGG